GUGGAACGCUGGCAUUGGGUCACCGGUCGUUUGAUCGGGGACGCGGCACGCUGUUGGGUCCUGAGGGAACAAGUAUCCCAUCUGUUGUUGUGGUGGGUGUCCCUUUGGUGGAAGUUGUGGGUUGGCAGUCAUCAUCACUGAACGGCUUGUGGCCGGUUGCCCUGGUGGGUGUGGUCGUGGGUUCGCGGUGGGUUGUGGUGGCGGGUCCGUCCGUACUUUGAGAACUGCACAGUGGAUGCGAGCAUCUUUGUGGCCAACUUAUUAAGGGCACACGGUGGAUGCCUAGGCAUCAGGACCCGAUGAAGGA
This 307-nucleotide unclassified non-coding RNA is filed under the name uncultured bacterium. RNAcentral describes it as "partial contains 16S-23S ribosomal RNA intergenic spacer and 23S ribosomal RNA". The record is from RNAcentral.